This 1614-nucleotide ribosomal RNA is filed under the name Staphylococcus aureus. RNAcentral describes it as "partial 23S ribosomal RNA". It matches the Rfam family "Bacterial large subunit ribosomal RNA", at positions 623 to 2238 of the family's 2925-position model. The record is from RNAcentral. Lineage: Bacteria; Bacillati; Bacillota; Bacilli; Caryophanales; Staphylococcaceae.
GCGAGUUACGAUUUGAUGCAAGGUUAAGCAGUAAAUGUGGAGCCGUAGCGAAAGCGAGUCUGAAUAGGGCGUUUAGUAUUUGGUCGUAGACCCGAAACCAGGUGAUCUACCCUUGGUCAGGUUGAAGUUCAGGUAACACUGAAUGGAGGACCGAACCGACUUACGUUGAAAAGUGAGCGGAUGAACUGAGGGUAGCGGAGAAAUUCCAAUCGAACCUGGAGAUAGCUGGUUCUCUCCGAAAUAGCUUUAGGGCUAGCCUCAAGUGAUGAUUAUUGGAGGUAGAGCACUGUUUGGACGAGGGGCCCCUCUCGGGUUACCGAAUUCAGACAAACUCCGAAUGCCAAUUAAUUUAACUUGGGAGUCAGAACAUGGGUGAUAAGGUCCGUGUUCGAAAGGGAAACAGCCCAGACCACCAGCUAAGGUCCCAAAAUAUAUGUUAAGUGGAAAAGGAUGUGGCGUUGCCCAGACAACUAGGAUGUUGGCUUAGAAGCAGCCAUCAUUUAAAGAGUGCGUAAUAGCUCACUAGUCGAGUGACACUGCGCCGAAAAUGUACCGGGGCUAAACAUAUUACCGAAGCUGUGGAUUGUCCUUUGGACAAUGGUAGGAGAGCGUUCUAAGGGCGUUGAAGCAUGAUCGUAAGGACAUGUGGAGCGCUUAGAAGUGAGAAUGCCGGUGUGAGUAGCGAAAGACGGGUGAGAAUCCCGUCCACCGAUUGACUAAGGUUUCCAGAGGAAGGCUCGUCCGCUCUGGGUUAGUCGGGUCCUAAGCUGAGGCCGACAGGCGUAGGCGAUGGAUAACAGGUUGAUAUUCCUGUACCACCUAUAAUCGUUUUAAUCGAUGGGGGGACGCAGUAGGAUAGGCGAAGCGUGCGAUUGGAUUGCACGUCUAAGCAGUAAGGCUGAGUAUUAGGCAAAUCCGGUACUCGUUAAGGCUGAGCUGUGAUGGGGAGAAGACAUUGUGUCUUCGAGUCGUUGAUUUCACACUGCCGAGAAAAGCCUCUAGAUAGAAAAUAGGUGCCCGUACCGCAAACCGACACAGGUAGUCAAGAUGAGAAUUCUAAGGUGAGCGAGCGAACUCUCGUUAAGGAACUCGGCAAAAUGACCCCGUAACUUCGGGAGAAGGGGUGCUCUUUAGGGUUAACGCCCAGAAGAGCCGCAGUGAAUAGGCCCAAGCGACUGUUUAUCAAAAACACAGGUCUCUGCUAAACCGUAAGGUGAUGUAUAGGGGCUGACGCCUGCCCGGUGCUGGAAGGUUAAGAGGAGUGGUUAGCUUCUGCGAAGCUACGAAUCGAAGCCCCAGUAAACGGCGGCCGUAACUAUAACGGUCCUAAGGUAGCGAAAUUCCUUGUCGGGUAAGUUCCGACCCGCACGAAAGGCGUAACGAUUUGGGCACUGUCUCAACGAGAGACUCGGUGAAAUCAUAGUACCUGUGAAGAUGCAGGUUACCCGCGACAGGACGGAAAGACCCCGUGGAGCUUUACUGUAGCCUGAUAUUGAAAUUCGGCACAGCUUGUACAGGAUAGGUAGGAGCCUUUGAAACGUGAGCGCUAGCUUACGUGGAGGCGCUGGUGGGAUACUACCCUAGCUGUGUUGGCUUUCUAACCCGCACCACUUA